GAUGAACGCUGGCGGCGUGCCUAAUACAUGCAAGUCGAGCGAACGGACGAGAAGCUUGCUUCUCUGAUGUUAGCGGCGGACGGGUGAGUAACACGUGGAUAACCUACCUAUAAGGCUGGGAUAACUUCGGGAAACCGGAGCUAAUACCGGAUAAUAUUUUGAACCGCAUGGUUCAAAAGUGAAAGACGGUCUUGCUGUCACUUAUAGAUGGAUCCGCGCUCCAUUAGCUAGUUGGUAAGGUAACGGCUUACCAAGGCAACGAUGCAUAGCCGACCUGAGAGGGUGAUCGGCCACACUGGAACUGAGACACGGUCCAGACUCCUACGGGAGGCAGCAGUAGGGAAUCUUCCGCAAUGGGCGAAAGCCUGACGGAGCAACGCCGCGUGAGUGAUGAAGGUCUUCGGAUCGUAAAACUCUGUUAUUAGGGAAGAACAUAUGUGUAAGUAACUGUGCACAUCUUGACGGUACCUAAUCAGAAAGCCACGGCUAACUACGUG
This 497-nucleotide ribosomal RNA is filed under the name uncultured bacterium. RNAcentral describes it as "partial 16S ribosomal RNA". It matches the Rfam family "Bacterial small subunit ribosomal RNA", at positions 28 to 507 of the family's 1533-position model. The record is from RNAcentral.